RNAcentral lists this ribosomal RNA (503 nucleotides) under uncultured bacterium. RNAcentral's name for it is "partial 16S ribosomal RNA". It matches the Rfam family "Bacterial small subunit ribosomal RNA", at positions 28 to 523 of the family's 1533-position model. The record is from RNAcentral.
GGUGAACGCUAGCGACAGGCUUAACACAUGCAAGUCGAGGGGCAGCAUAAAAGUAGCAAUACUUUGGUGGCGACCGGCGCACGGGUGAGUAACGCGUAUGCAACCUACCUAUCAGAGGGGAAUAACCCGGCGAAAGUCGGACUAAUACCGCAUAAAACAGGGGCACCGCAUGGUGAUAUUUGUUAAAGAGAUUCGCUGAUAGAUGGGCAUGCGUUCCAUUAGGUAGUUGGUGAGGUAACGGCUCACCAAGCCGACGAUGGAUAGGGGAACUGAGAGGUUGGUCCCCCACACUGGUACUGAGACACGGACCAGACUCCUACGGGAGGCAGCAGUGAGGAAUAUUGGUCAAUGGGCGAGAGCCUGAACCAGCCAAGUCGCGUGAAGGAAGAAGGAUCUAUGGUUCGUAAACUUCUUUUGCAGGGGAAUAAAGUGCAGGACGUGUCCUGUUUUGUAUGUACCCUGAGAAUAAGGAUCGGCUAACUCCGUGCCAGCAGCCGCCGUAA